GACGAACGCUGGCGGCGUGCUUAACACAUGCAAGUCGAGCGGUAAGGCCCUUUCGGGGGUACACGAGCGGCGAACGGGUGAGUAACACGUGGGUGACCUGCCCUUAGCUCUGGGAUAAGCCUGGGAAACUGGGUCUAAUACCGGAUAUGACUCCAUGACGCAUGUUGUGGGGUGGAAAGCCUUGUGCGGCUAGGGAUGGGCCCGCGGCCUAUCAGCUUGUUGGUGGGGUGAUGGCCACCAAGGCGACGACGGGUAGCCGGCCUGAGAGGGCGACCGGCCACACUGGGACUGAGACACGGCCCAGACUCCUACGGGAGGCAGCAGUGGGGAAUCCUGCGCAAUGGGCGAAAGCCUGACGCAGCGACGCCGCGUGGGGAUGACGGCCUCGGUU
Molecule: ribosomal RNA, 391 nt
Filed under: uncultured bacterium
Lineage: Bacteria
Description: bacterial SSU rRNA
Rfam family: Bacterial small subunit ribosomal RNA
Source: RNAcentral